GUCUUUUAGAAUAAAAUUAAAAGUCUAAUCUGCCCAAUGAUUAUUUUAUAUUAAAUGGCCGCAGUAAACUGACUGUGCAAAGGUAGCAUAAUAAUUAGUCUUUUAAUUGAAGGCUUGAAUGAAUGAUUGAAUGAAAAAUUUACUUUAUUAAUUUAAAUUUUAUAAUUUAAUUUUUAGGUUAAAAAGCCUAAAUAAUUAAGUUGGACGAGAAGACCCUAUAGAACUUAAAUAAUGUUAAAUAUUAAUUUAAUAUUAGUACUUUACUUAUAUAAUUUAAAUAAAUAUUUUCAUUUUUAUGUUGGGGUGACAUUAAAAAUUACAUAACUUUAAAUAUAUAAAACAUUAAUAUAUGUAUAUAAUGAUCCAAAUUUAUUAUUUUGAUUAAAAGAAAAAGUUACCUUAGGGAUAACAGCGUCAUUAUUUUUUAGAGUUCAUAUCAAUGAAAUAGUUUGCGACCUCGAUGUUGGAUUAAGAAAAUAAUUUGGAGCAAAAUCUAAAUUUAUAGGUCUGUUCGACCUUUAAAUUCUU
Molecule: ribosomal RNA, 528 nt
Filed under: Meimuna choui
Lineage: Eukaryota; Metazoa; Arthropoda; Insecta; Hemiptera; Cicadidae
Description: partial 16S ribosomal RNA
Rfam family: Archaeal large subunit ribosomal RNA (bases 405-528)
Source: RNAcentral